Molecule: ribosomal RNA, 478 nt
Filed under: uncultured bacterium
Lineage: Bacteria
Description: partial 16S ribosomal RNA
Rfam family: Bacterial small subunit ribosomal RNA
Source: RNAcentral
GACGAACGCUGGCGGCGUGCUUAACACAUGCAAGUCGAACGGUAAGGCCCUCCGGGGUACACGAGUGGCGAACGGGUGAGUAACACGUGGGUGAUCUGCCCUGCACUUCGGGAUAAGCCUGGGAAACUGGGUCUAAUACCGGAUAGGACCACUGCCUGCAUGGGUGGUGGUGGAAAGCUUUUGCGGUGUGGGAUGGGCCCGCGGCCUAUCAGCUUGUUGGUGGGGUGAUGGCCUACCAAGGCGACGACGGGUAGCCGGCCUGAGAGGGUGACCGGCCACACUGGGACUGAGAUACGGCUCAGACUCCUACGGGAGGCAGCAGUGGGGAAUAUUGCACAAUGGGCGCAAGCCUGAUGCAGCGACGCCGCGUGAGGGAUGACGGCCUUCGGGUUGUAAACCUCUUUCAGCACCGACGAAGCGCAAGUGACGGUAGGUGCAGAAGAAGGACCGGCCAACUACGUGCCAGCCGCCGCAGUAA